Molecule: small nucleolar RNA, 129 nt
Organism: Suncus etruscus (white-toothed pygmy shrew)
Lineage: Eukaryota; Metazoa; Chordata; Mammalia; Eulipotyphla; Soricidae
Product: small nucleolar RNA SNORA48
Exons: 1
Source: RefSeq, a predicted model, not a curated record
UACCCCUGACAAGAGUUACCUCAUUGGUGUUGAUGUUCUUAUAGCAGUGGGCAAAGCAAAUGACCCUUAUUCAUUCUAUCUUGAUGCCUGGGUUGGUGACCAGAGCUAUUUCAUGCUUAGGGCAAAUUA